UACGUAGGGGGCAAGCGUUGUCCGGAAUCAUUGGGCGUAAAGAGCGUGUAGGCGGCCCGGUAAGUCCGCUGUAAAAGUCAAAGGCUCAACCUUUGAAUGUCAGUGGAUACUGCCGGGCUAGAGUCCGGAAGAGGCGAGUGGAACUCCUGGUGUAGCGGUGGAAUGCGCAGAUAUCAGGAAGAACACCAACGGCGAAGGCAGCUCACUGGGACGGUACUGACGCUGAGACGCGAAAGCGUGGGGAGCGAACAGG
RNAcentral lists this ribosomal RNA (253 nucleotides) under uncultured bacterium. RNAcentral's name for it is "partial 16S ribosomal RNA". It matches the Rfam family "Bacterial small subunit ribosomal RNA", at positions 524 to 776 of the family's 1533-position model. The record is from RNAcentral.